UACGAAGGGGGCUAGCGUUGUCCGGAAUUAUUGGGCGUAAAGAGCUCGUAGGCGGUUUGUCGCGUCUGCCGUGAAAGUCCGGGGCUUAACUCCGGAUCUGCGGUGGGUACGGGCAGACUUGAGUGAUGUAGGGGAGACUGGAAUUCCUGGUGUAGCGGUGAAAUGCGCAGAUAUCAGGAGGAACACCGAUGGCGAAGGCAGGUCUCUGGGCUGUAACUGACGCUGAGGAGCGAAAGCAUGGGGAGCAAACAGG
This 253-nucleotide ribosomal RNA is filed under the name uncultured bacterium. RNAcentral describes it as "partial 16S ribosomal RNA". It matches the Rfam family "Bacterial small subunit ribosomal RNA", at positions 524 to 776 of the family's 1533-position model. The record is from RNAcentral.